Numida meleagris (helmeted guineafowl) is the source of this 1967-nucleotide long non-coding RNA. The record is from Ensembl. NCBI's taxonomy places the organism in Eukaryota, Metazoa, Chordata, Aves, Galliformes, Numididae.
GUCGCAUCUCGGUUGCCACGGCGACCGCUGCCACCCAAACCCAGGGAUGCGGUCGCCAUGGUGACCACUGGCCCCAGUGUGCACCCCCCCCCACACACACACCCCCAUUGUCACCAUUGUCACACUCACGUGGGCACCCCCGUGCACGUCUGUGCACACAGCCCCCCCCAAGUGCACACCUACACCCGCACCCCACGUGCACACCCCCGUGCACACGCACCCGAGGGAACCCAAGUGCGUGUGGCCCCGUGCACGCCCCCGUGCACACCUACACCCGUGCACGCGCACCCACCACCGCCGUGCACACACACAUCCAUGCACACGCCCACGUGCACACACAACCUGUGCACACAUAUCCCAUGCACACACGCCCACGUGCACAACCAUGCACACGUGCACAAAUGUGCCCGCACACCCAUGCGCACGCACAAGUGUGCACAAAUCCCAUGCACACGCACACAUCUAAGCACACAUGCACAAACGUGCACGUACACCCACGUGCACGCACAACCAUGCACACAUACCCCAUGUACACACACCCACGUGCACACACGUCCCUGCACACGUGCACAAACGUGCCCGCACGCCCAUGUGCACACACAACUGUGCACAUAUAUCCCAUGCACACACAUAUCCAAGCACGCAUGCACAAACGUGCACACACUCCCACAUGCAUGCACAACCAUGCACACACAUCCUUGCACACAUGCACACUCACACAGGUGCUCACAUCGCCGUGCACACCCAUGUGCACACCCACCUCCGUGCACACCCACCCCCUUGCACGUCUGCCCCCAUCCACACCCAAACUGGUGCACACCCCCGUGUGCACACCCACGUGCACACGCACACAUCUGUGCAUGCGAAGCCAUGUGCGGUAGCACACCGUCACCUGUGCACGCACAUUUGUGUUCACACUCAAGUGCACACCCACAGCCUUGCACAUCCACCCGUGUGCACACAUCCCAUGCACACACCCAGGUGCGUGCACCCCAAUGCACACCCAUGUGCCCACACAGAUCUCUCUGCAUGCACACGCCCAUCUCUGUGCACACCCAUGUGCACUCACACAUAUCCGUGCACACCCACCCCAAUGCACACCCACGUGCACAACCACCUCCGUGCACGCACAACCGUGCAGAAGUGCGCUCACACUUGAGUGUGCACACCUGUGUGCACACCCACAUCCCUCCACAGACCUGCACACCCCCCCAUGUGCAAACACACUCCCCAAUGCACAGAUACCCGUGCACACACACACUUCCCAGUGUACACCCACACCUGUGCACACUCGCCCACGUGCACAUGCACACCCACAUGCACACCAGCACCUGUGCACACACCCACGUGGUGCACAUGCACACUCGUGCACACCCAAGUGCACUCACACACCUGUGCACACUCACCCAUAUGCACACCUACACCUGUGCACAGACCCACGUGGUGCACAUGCACACUCAUGUGCACACCCACGUGGACUCACACACGUGUGCACUCUCACUUACCCAUGUGCAGAUGCACGCCCACGUGCACACCCACACCUGUGCACACUCACCCACAUGCACACCCACACCUGUGCACAGACUCGCAUGGUGCACAUGCACACCCAUGUGCACACCCACGUGCACUCACACACGUGUGCACUCUCACUUUCCUAUGUGGAGAUGCACGCCCACGUGCACACCCACACCCGUGCACGCACACCCACACCUGUGCACACUCACCCACAUGCACACCCACACCUGUGCACACACCCGCAUGGUGCACAUGCACACCCAUGCGCACACCCACGUGCACUCACACACCUGUGCACACCCACCCACGAGCACAUGCAUGCCCACGUGCACCCACCCACCCUUGCACACUCACCCACGUGCACCUGCACACCACUACCGCCACCCCUACGUGCACCCCCCCAUGCACACUCAUCCCCCUUGCACACCCCUUUGCACACUCACCACCCUCCC